GGCCUGGUAGUUCAGCUGGUUAGCAUAUUCCGAUUCAUCGGAAGAGUCGCCCGUUCGAGUCCCGUCCAGAUCGCUA
Molecule: transfer RNA, 76 nt
Filed under: Sphingobacterium paucimobilis HER1398
Lineage: Bacteria; Pseudomonadati; Bacteroidota; Sphingobacteriia; Sphingobacteriales; Sphingobacteriaceae
Description: tRNA-OTHER
Source: RNAcentral